RNAcentral lists this ribosomal RNA (433 nucleotides) under uncultured bacterium. RNAcentral's name for it is "partial 16S ribosomal RNA". It matches the Rfam family "Bacterial small subunit ribosomal RNA", at positions 29 to 507 of the family's 1533-position model. The record is from RNAcentral.
AACGAACGCUGGCGGCAUGCCUAACACAUGCAAGUCGAACGAGACCUUCGGGUCUAGUGGCGCACGGGUGCGUAACGCGUGGGAACCUGCCCUUAGGUUCGGAAUAACUCCCCGAAAGGGGUGCUAAUACCGGAUAAUGUCUUCGGACCAAAGAUUUAUCGCCUUUGGAUGGGCCCGCGUUGGAUUAGCUAGUUGGUAGGGUAAAAGCCUACCAAGGCGACGAUCCAUAGCUGGUCUGAGAGGAUGAUCAGCCACACUGGGACUGAGACACGGCCCAGACUCCUACGGGAGGCAGCAGUGGGGAAUAUUGGACAGUGGGCGAAAGCUUGAUCCAGCCAUGCCGCGUGAGUGAUGAAGGCCUUAGGGUUGUAAAGCUCUUUUACCCGGGAUGAUAAUGACAGUACCGGGAGAAUAAGCUCCGGCUAACUCCGUG